This 1773-nucleotide long non-coding RNA is filed under the name Homo sapiens (human). RNAcentral describes it as "non-protein coding lnc-JMJD6-2:1". The record is from RNAcentral. Lineage: Eukaryota; Metazoa; Chordata; Mammalia; Primates; Hominidae.
CUGGCCCGCACUCGGCGGCCGCGGCGCGAUGGAGGCGCCGGCCGAGCUACUGGCCGCGCUGCCUGCGCUGGCCACCGCGCUGGCCCUUCUGCUCGCCUGGCUACUGGUGCGGCGUGGGGCGGCCGCGAGCCCGGAGCCUGCCCGCGCGCCCCCGGAACCCGCGCCCCCGGCCGAGGCCACCGGGGCCCCGGCGCCGUCCCGCCCCUGCGCCCCCGAGCCGGCGGCCUCGCCCGCGGGGCCGGAGGAGCCUGGAGAGCCCGCGGGGCUGGGGGAGCUCGGGGAGCCUGCGGGACCGGGGGAGCCCGAAGGGCCAGGGGAUCCCGCGGCGGCGCCAGCGGAGGCGGAGGAGCAGGCGGUGGAGGCGAGGCAGGAGAAGGCUUCUCCUUCAAAUACAGCCCCGGGAAGCUGAGGGGAAACCAGUACAAGAAGAUGAUGACCAAAGAGGAGCUGGAGGAGGAGCAGAGAACUGAAGAAUAACGAAGUUAUCCUUAGCGUCCUCCUAAAGGCUUUUCCUUUUGGCAUCUUAAAAGCUUGAGAGAUAAAACGGAAACCCCAGAGAGGAGUCUGGGCAGGCUCCCAGGGUGCAUGCUGCCUCCAUAAAUCUGCUGAGCUCUAGACCCUCAAUCAGGACUUGUCCCUUGGCUAGCAGGAUCCUGGGAACACCUUUGGCCCUGCCCUGUGUAGAGAUGUUCAUGUCUGUUCCUGUGGGUCACUUUGUUAAGCUGAAGAGUUUUAAGAGGUAGAGCUCAGACCCUGGACUGGGAUUUUUCUUACCACUCAAACUUGCUAUCCACACACCCUGCACACCUUAGAUAAAAAGAACAUUUUAAAAGCAGAGUUCACUUUCACUCCAGUCUCCCCUCUUUUGCCCUCACUGAAGCCAAACCACAGAAGACUUUGAGGAAUGAGAGACAAAUGAGGUAGAGCUCACCUGUGCUCACCAGCUCCGUCAGGGUGGUCAGCCGACCCCUUUCCCUGGGAACCCCACUUCUCUCUGUGGCUGGCUUGGUUGUCGGGGGUGAGAUGCCAUAUUGAUUACAGGGCAGCAAAGAACCAGUACCAGGAAUUUACUUGACCAUUCCCCUUAUUUUUCAUCUAGAGGAAUCUCGGAUUCAGCCCUUUCAUUGCUAAGACACCUUUUCACUGAGGUUCUUACCAGCUCAGCCAAAUCUCCACUCUGCUAUAGCAGAAGCAAUAAUGUUUGCUUUAAAAAGAUUUCUUGACCUAUGCCUUUUCUUAGAAAGUUUGAUAGAUUAGUUAGAACUUCAGAUCAUCAGAUCAGUCUCAAAUGGGUUUCUUGGAAUUUUAUAUUUGACAAUAUUUAUACUAUACCAAACUCAUUUGCAGUUCUUAGGUUUGUUGGUUAAAACAUUUUUUUAAAGCAGUAAGUUUAUAGAAAAUGUUUUCAUUUAAUGGAAGGCUGGGGAAUGUCCAGCAUCAACCCCUAUGGCAUGCAUUCCCAGGGGCCUUCUCAUCUGGGCCUGGAACCUUUGGUUCAGGGCUUAGGGGAGAACAGGCCACAUGGCAACAGCCACACAGUCAUUGCCUUCAACACAGAGCCACGUGUCCCCAAACAGCAAUAGUCAUGCCCUUGUCCAGGCUGGGAUCUAAUUGACACAAUAGGUCGUUGACUCCCUCCUAGUAGAGCUAUCUAGGUUUGUCUGGAAAGUUUCCGACCCUGGCUUAUAGGCACCACACCUCAUGUACUCCUCAUGGCUUGGAUCUCUGUAUUCAGCCUUUGUUCAGUCCAAUAAACUUUGAGUAGAUGAUCUC